RNAcentral lists this ribosomal RNA (498 nucleotides) under uncultured bacterium. RNAcentral describes it as "partial 16S ribosomal RNA". It matches the Rfam family "Bacterial small subunit ribosomal RNA", at positions 30 to 523 of the family's 1533-position model. The record is from RNAcentral.
AUUGAACGCUGGCGACAUGCCUUACACAUGCAAGUCGAACGGUAACGGGCCUUCGGGUGCCGACGAGUGGCGAACGGGUGAGUAAUGUAUCGGAACGUACCUUUCAGUGGGGGAUAACGUAGCGAAAGUUACGCUAAUACCGCAUAUUCUGUGAGCAGGAAAGCAGGGGAUCGCAAGACCUUGCGCUGAUUGAGCGGCCGAUAUCAGAUUAGCUAGUUGGUGAGGUAAAGGCUCACCAAGGCGACGAUCUGUAGCGGGUCUGAGAGGAUGAUCCGCCACACUGGAUCUGAGACACGGUCCAGACUCCUACGGGAGGCAGCAGUGGGGAAUUUUGGACAAUGGGGGCAACCCUGAUCCAGCCAUGCCGCGUGAGUGAAGAAGGCCUUCGGGUUGUAAAGCUCUUUCGGCCGGGAAGAAAUCGUAUGGGUUAAUACCCUGUGCGGAUGACGGUACCGGCAUAAGAAGCACCGGCUAACUACGUGCCAGCCGCCGCCGUAA